UUCAUUUGCCAUGUCGGAUUUUCAAGCUACUAUUUUUUCAUGUGUGUUUUGCUCCAAUGGUUAGCAAGUUGCUUGAAUUUUUUUUAACCAUAUUUUAAUUUUAUUUUUAUGACUCAAUUCACAAGUUUAUCAAAUAAAUUAAUUGUUUUACGUUCUUUUUUUUCCCAAGCUAAUUAGCUUUGUAGAGCUAAUUUGCUUAACUUGGCUAAUUGCUCAUAUGUACUCCAUUGGUUGGCUAGUAACUAAAAAUUUUAUGAAAAUUGCAAGCUAGUCCCUACAUGUAACCAUUGGAGAUGCUCUAAGGGAAAGAGGGGGAAUUGGGGUAAUGGCGCCAUUUAGUUUACACAAGCGGGAGUUUUAGCGCCCAGAAUUAUGUGAAGAAAUGAGCGCCAAUUUUUUCAUGAAAAAUAAUUAAUCAGAAAAUCUGAAACUCACCGGCGCCGAUUAUAAUUCCGACCAAGUCACUCAAUGGAAGCAUGAACCGCCGAUUAUAAUCCAAAUAUAGAACUAGUUUUAACAGGUUAAAUACGAGAAAAUAGGUCCCUUAGUUAAUUGCAAAGUUCAACUAAUUAAACGGGAGAUCAACUAAUUAUGAACGUAAGUGUUGGUGGGGGAGGUGUUGCUCUUGUCGCUGUUACAGGCAGAAAUGGAGAUGGUGAUGGUGAUGGUGAUGGUGAUUGGUGAUGUUGCCAUUCCUACUGAAGAAAAGAAAUAGGAGAAGGAGGAAGCCGAGGAGGUCAACUCCCUCUUUGCAAGGGCCUAAUCAAACUCAAUGAAGCAAAAUAUUGUCUAAUUGUGAGGGGACAGAAAAAGCACGAGGCUAAUGCAUGACCUCGUCCCUCGUGGGCGUGACGUUGUCAGAUCAAGUGUAGUUAGAUUUCUUGUGAGUUUACACCCAAUCGACUAGUAAUAUAGGAGUCGCCAUUCAGUUUUUAACGACAAUGAGAAAAAUUGACAAAACCCGGUUAUCGUGACAUAAAGGGAGUGCAAUUAUGUUCAACCACGACGGCCGUAUGUUCCCUUGUGAUCCCUAGUGUGGGGAUCGCUCAAUGUACACCCGCAGGGCAGAGAUUGAGAGUUCGGGGGACUGUAACUACCGAGAGGAGUACUCAUCGAUAACUCCAGAGGCAGGUUAUCCUUGUUAGGUUAUGAUACAUAUGAAUAAACAUAAAUCAUGCGGAAAAAUCAUAAAGCCAGGAAACAUAUUAUUUACACAUAAUCAUUUAGCAUAAUUCAGAUG
Molecule: long non-coding RNA, 1240 nt
Organism: Spinacia oleracea (spinach)
Lineage: Eukaryota; Viridiplantae; Streptophyta; Magnoliopsida; Caryophyllales; Amaranthaceae
Exons: 3
Source: RefSeq, a predicted model, not a curated record